GACGUAGGGUGCAAGCGUUGUCCGGAUUUAUUGGGCGUAAAGAGCUCGUAGGCGGCUUGUUGCGUCGACUGUGAAAACCCGCGGCUUAACCGCGGGCUUGCAGUUGAUACGGGCAGGCUAGAGUUCGGUAGGGGAGACUGGAAUUCCUGGUGUAGCGGUGAAAUGCGCAGAUAUCAGGAGGAACACCGGUGGCGAAGGCGGGUCUCUGGGCCGAUACUGACGCUGAGGAGCGAAAGCGUGGGUAGCAAACAGG
This 253-nucleotide ribosomal RNA is filed under the name uncultured bacterium. Its description in RNAcentral is "partial 16S ribosomal RNA". It matches the Rfam family "Bacterial small subunit ribosomal RNA", at positions 524 to 776 of the family's 1533-position model. The record is from RNAcentral.